GUGGGGAAUCUUGCGCAAUGGGCGAAAGCCUGACGCAGCCAUGCCGCGUGAAUGAUGAAGGUCUUAGGAUUGUAAAAUUCUUUCACCGGGGACGAUAAUGACGGUACCCGGAGAAGAAGCUCCGGCUAACUUCGUGCCAGCAGCCGCGGUAAUACGAAGGGGGCUAGCGUUGCUCGGAAUUACUGGGCGUAAAGGGCGCGUAGGCGGACAGCUUAGUCAGAGGUGAAAGCCCAGGGCUCAACCUUGGAAUUGCCUUUGAUACUGGCUGUCUUGAAUUUGGGAGAGGUGAGUGGAACUCCGAGUGUAGAGGUGAAAUUCGUAGAUAUUCGGAAGAACACCAGUGGCGAAGGCGACUCACUGGCCCAAUACUGACGCUGAGGCGCGAAAGCGUGGGGAGCAAACAGGAUUAGAUACCCGAGUAGUCC
Molecule: ribosomal RNA, 425 nt
Filed under: uncultured bacterium
Lineage: Bacteria
Description: partial 16S ribosomal RNA
Rfam family: Bacterial small subunit ribosomal RNA
Source: RNAcentral